This 397-nucleotide ribosomal RNA is filed under the name uncultured bacterium. Its description in RNAcentral is "partial 16S ribosomal RNA". It matches the Rfam family "Bacterial small subunit ribosomal RNA", at positions 523 to 918 of the family's 1533-position model. The record is from RNAcentral.
AUACGUAGGGGGCGAGCGUUGUCCGGAAUGACUGGGCGUAAAGGGCGUGUAGGCGGCUGGAUAAGUCUGGAGUGAAAGUCCUGCAUUCAAUGUGGGAAUUGCUUUGGAGACUGUCUGGCUUGAGUGCGGAAGAGGUAAGUGGAAUUCCCAGUGUAGCGGUGAAAUGCGUAGAGAUUGGGAGGAACACCAGUGGCGAAGGCGACUUACUGGGCCGUAACUGACGCUGAGGCGCGAAAGCGUGGGGAGCGAACAGGAUUAGAUACCCUGGUAGUCCACGCGGUAAACGAUGAAUGCUAGGUGUAGGGGGUAUCGACCCCUCCUGUGCCGGAGUGAACACAAUAAGCAUUCCGCCUGGGGAGUACGGCCGCAAGGUUGAAACUCAAAGGAAUUGACGGGG